GUUCUCAUCGCACUUGCUGCAUUUAUGACUUCAUCCCCGAGGGAGGAUUCGUGAGCCAAGAGAUGCAUGAUUUUUCCACUCUAUAUAUACACCUGCUGUGAACUGCAGUCUGGUCCCACCAAGAUAAAAGACUGGCUCUGGAGGACAUGCUACGCAGGACAGAUGACAAUGAUGACAAUGGCCAGAGCCAAAGGGAAGCCUGCCAUCGGAUUGCGUAAGGAUGGUGCUGGGUGCCCUGAACGCUGGUGCCCUGGCCCUGCUCUGAUGCUCAGGGGGUACCUUACUCACUAGCUGUUCAGAGAAUGACCUUGCAGAAUGCUUCUACCACUGUUGGCCUUUCAUUCAGAGACCUCAUUGAUCUCUAAUCCUUCCCCCAUGCUCAAGGACAAGGUCUACAUUUCCAGCUAAGGUUGCAAGAUAACUAGUGAUGUCCAGCUGAGUACCAAGUGGCUUUAAUUUCAUCACCUCAAUCCAUGUUGAGAUGCAGUUACCUUCUCAUCAGGCCUCAAACUAAGGCGGGCUUCACAUGUGCCAAAGCCCCAAAUGCAGAAGGAUGCAAUUCGCAUCGUGAAAUUCUUAAUGAUUGUACCUUUGAGUUGUGUGUUGUAUGUGAAAUAGGAGAACAAUGGAGCAUGUGCCGGGGGUGGGGAGCCUUGGAUUGUGUGUGGUUCCACUUCUGUCUCUGUUCUGUGGUCAGAGUGUGGGCGUCCCACUCAGUGACCACUGUUUCCUUCCCCUGCUGCAGGGCGCGGGGUGUGGGUUCCAGAGGGUGCAGGGGAUGGGGCGGGGGGGCAUUUGGUGCCUGUGACCAGCUGCACUUGCCCCCAUGAACAUCCUGAGGGAGUUAUGGUGUAUU
Long non-coding RNA from Myotis lucifugus (little brown bat), 856 nucleotides. RefSeq lists it as uncharacterized. The transcript has 3 exons. The record is from RefSeq and is a predicted model, not a curated record. Lineage: Eukaryota; Metazoa; Chordata; Mammalia; Chiroptera; Vespertilionidae.